GGCGACGACGGGUAGCCGGCCUGAGAGGGCGACCGGCCACACUGGGACUGAGACACGGCCCAGACUCCUACGGGAGGCAGCAGUGGGGAAUAUUGCACAAUGGGCGCAAGCCUGAUGCAGCGACGCCGCGUGAGGGAUGACGGCCUUCGGGUUGUAAACCUCUUUCAGCAGGGACGAAGCGUGAGUGACGGUACCUGCAGAAGAAGCACCGGCCAACUACGUGCCAGCAGCCGCGGUAAUACGUAGGGUGCAAGCGUUGUCCGGAAUUACUGGGCGUAAAGAGCUCGUAGGCGGUUUGUCGCGUCGUCUGUGAAAACCAGCAGCUCAACUGUUGGCUUGCAGGCGAUACGGGCAGACUUGAGUAUUUCAGGGGAGACUGGAAUUCCUGGUGUAGCGGUGAAAUGCGCAGAUAUCAGGAGGAACACCGGUGGCGAAGGCGGGUCUCUGGGAAAUAACUGACGCUGAGGAGCGAAAGCGUGGGUAGCGAACAGGAUUAGAUACCCUGGUAGUCCACGCCGUAAACGGUGGGCGCUAGGUGUGGGUUUCCUUCCACGGGAUCCGUGCCGUAGCUAACGCAUUAAGCGCCCCGCCUGGGGARGUACGG
RNAcentral lists this ribosomal RNA (604 nucleotides) under Rhodococcus sp. CMT95. RNAcentral's name for it is "bacterial SSU rRNA". It matches the Rfam family "Bacterial small subunit ribosomal RNA", at positions 272 to 885 of the family's 1533-position model. The record is from RNAcentral. Lineage: Bacteria; Bacillati; Actinomycetota; Actinomycetes; Mycobacteriales; Nocardiaceae.